AAGUCGUAACAAGGUUUCCGUAGGUGAACCUGCGGAAGGAUCAUUAACGAGUUAGGGUCUUCUAAGGCCCGACCUCCCAACCCUAUGUUUAUUGUACCUUGUGUUGCUUCGGCGGGACCGUCUCACGACCGCCGGAGGGCCGUAAAACGUCCUCUGGCCCGCGCCCGCCGAUGGCCCCCCACAAAAAAUUCUGAAUAAAUCAUGCCUAAUUGUCUGAGUAUAAUACACAAAAAUUAAAAGCAAAACUUUCAACAACGGAUCUCUUGGUUCUGGCAUCGAUGAAGAACGCAGCGAAAUGCGAUAAGUAAUGCGAAUUGCAGAAUUCCAGUGAGUCAUCGAAUCUUUGAACGCACGUUGCGCCCUUUGGUAUUCCGAAGGGCAUGCCUGUUCGAGCGUCAUUUUCACCCCUCAAGCCCCCGGCUUGGUUUUGGACGGUCUGGUUUAGGCACCGCCUAGACCCCUCCUAAAGAUAAUGACGGCGGCCUCGUUGGACCCCCGGUACACUGAGCUUCUUAACUGAGCACGUAUCGGAUCAAGGGUGCGCGGGACACGGUCUUUCAACCCCCUUUUUUUUCUAAGGUUGACCUCGGAUCAGGUAGGAAUACCCGCUGAACUUAA
This 618-nucleotide ribosomal RNA is filed under the name uncultured fungus. Its description in RNAcentral is "eukaryotic LSU rRNA". The stretch from base 244 to 398 matches the Rfam family "5.8S ribosomal RNA". The record is from RNAcentral. Lineage: Eukaryota; Fungi.